GCACUGUUGACGAGUCCAAAACAGAACGAAACAGCUGUGCAGUGC
Molecule: non-coding RNA, 45 nt
Organism: Echinostoma caproni
Lineage: Eukaryota; Metazoa; Platyhelminthes; Trematoda; Plagiorchiida; Echinostomatidae
Source: Rfam